CGCAGCUGCUCAUUGGUUGGAGGGGGACAUGUGACUGAGUACGGCGGCUGCGUGACCCGGAAUUCCGGUGAGAGGUGAAGAAGGAGGCGGAGCCACCGGAGGAGAUCAACGGAGAGCAGGGCGCGAGCUCCGGCCUGAGAUCGGAGGUGUCCUCGUUGUUCUUCUCUUUGUCUCCUUCUCCUGACGACCUCUGACCCCUCGGCCUCUCCUGGGUCGUCUGUGACCGCACCUGAUGAAGAAGUCUUCCACAGAUCGAGGGAGUAAGAUGCCGCGGUGUUUCGUCCAGCGCUGCUCCUCUUCGGGCAGGAAGAAGGUUUCGCCCAGCGUCAUCUUCCACGUCUUCCCGAACCGGUUGGAUAAGAUCCGGACGUGGCUGCUGUGUAUCCGGCAGAGCGGGCAGGAGAUCGGCGACAUGGAGGACACCGCCGAGAAGAUCCUGGAGGCCAAAAGAGGCGACCGCUACCGGAUCUGCUCCGAACACUUCACAGAAGAUUGUUACGUCCCGGCGGGCUGCGCAAGACCCUGAAGAGAGACGCCGUUCCCUCCGUGUUCCAAGGCGCGGCGCCGAGAGGCGACACUGAGCAGUGGGUGAAGCCGCCAUAUAAGAGAGCGAACGUGGAUCCCGCUACGAGGCGUCCGCGCAAUAGCCCCAGUGUGGUGAAAAUCUGCCCUGCUGUGCGCGCUGUCCCGGUGAGCGUCUUAUCUGUCAUGAGAUGUACAGCCAGUGCAGCACGCCGUAAAGUGAGAGAUCCUGGAGAGGAUCCAAACCUCGGCGCUUUUUCCAUUUUUUUGAUGGAAUAAAUUUCCCUUUCUCGCUGUAUGGCGGCCGCGCUGGACGCAGGAGAAUUGAUCGACUCCGUUCUAUUCAGUUUCUUGCACUUUUCUAUUGGACAUUAUUUUCACUUACGUCCUGUUGUUAUUUUUCUGUAUACAUGCAACUGGCGGUGUCACUUCUCUAAUCCCCCCUCCCUCCUGCUUGUCUGCAUACACAUUCCC
This is a long non-coding RNA of Hyla sarda, 996 nucleotides long. RefSeq lists it as uncharacterized. The transcript is spliced from 3 exons. Lineage: Eukaryota; Metazoa; Chordata; Amphibia; Anura; Hylidae. The record is from RefSeq and is a predicted model, not a curated record.